CGUCAAAUCAUCAUGCCCCUUAUGGCCUGGGCUACACACGUGCUACAAUGGUCGGUACAAAGGGAAGCGAAGCGGCGACGUGGAGCGAACCCCAUAAAGCCGAUCCCAGUUCGGAUUGCAGGCUGCAACUCGCCUGCAUGAAGUUGGAAUCGCUAGUAAUCGCGGAUCAGCAUGCCGCGGUGAAUACGUUCCCGGGUCUU
This 200-nucleotide ribosomal RNA is filed under the name uncultured prokaryote. Its description in RNAcentral is "partial 16S ribosomal RNA". It matches the Rfam family "Bacterial small subunit ribosomal RNA", at positions 1183 to 1382 of the family's 1533-position model. The record is from RNAcentral.